UACGAAGGGUGCUAGCGUUGUUCGGAAUCACUGGGCGUAAAGCGCGCGUAGGCGGCCUAACAAGUCAGGGGUGAAAGCCUGGAGCUUAACUCCAGAACUGCCUUUGAAACUGUUAGGCUAGAGUGUCGGAGGGGAUAGCGGAAUUGCUAAUGUAGAGGUGAAAUUCGUAGAUAUUAGCAGGAACACCGGUGGCGAAGGCGGCUAUCUGGACGACAACUGACGCUGAGGCGCGAAAGCGUGGGGAUCAAACAGG
RNAcentral lists this ribosomal RNA (253 nucleotides) under uncultured bacterium. Its description in RNAcentral is "partial 16S ribosomal RNA". It matches the Rfam family "Bacterial small subunit ribosomal RNA", at positions 524 to 776 of the family's 1533-position model. The record is from RNAcentral.